RNAcentral lists this ribosomal RNA (253 nucleotides) under uncultured bacterium. Its description in RNAcentral is "partial 16S ribosomal RNA". It matches the Rfam family "Bacterial small subunit ribosomal RNA", at positions 524 to 776 of the family's 1533-position model. The record is from RNAcentral.
GACGAACCGUGCAAACGUUGUUCGGAAUCACUGGGCUUAAAGGGCGCGUAGGCGGGUCUCAAAGUCGGUGGUGAAAUCUUUCAGCUCAACUGGAAAAGUGCCGCCGAUACUGGAGAUCUCGAGGGAGGUAGGGGUCGAUGGAACUAAUGGUGGAGCGGUGAAAUGCGUAGAUAUCUGGAGGAACACCGGUGGCGAAGGCGGCAUCCUGGACCGACACUGACGCUGAGGAGCGAAAGCCAGGGGAGCAAACGGG